RNAcentral lists this ribosomal RNA (508 nucleotides) under uncultured bacterium. RNAcentral's name for it is "partial 16S ribosomal RNA". It matches the Rfam family "Bacterial small subunit ribosomal RNA", at positions 28 to 523 of the family's 1533-position model. The record is from RNAcentral.
GAUGAACGCUAGCUACAGGCUUAACACAUGCAAGUCGAGGGGAAACGAUAGAGAAAGCUUGCUUUUUCUAGGCGUCGACCGGCGCACGGGUGAGUAACGCGUAUCCAACCUGCCCAUCACUUGGGGAUAACCUUGAGAAAGUAAGGCUAAUACCCAAUGACGUCUCUAGAAGCCAUCUGAAAGAGAUUAAAGAUUUAUCGGUGAUGGAUGGGGAUGCGUCUGAUUAGCUUGUUGGCGGGGUAACGGCCCACCAAGGAGACGAUCAGUAGGGGUGCUGAGGGGAAGGUCCCCCACAGUGGAACUGAGACACGGUCCAAACUCCUACGGGAGGCAGCAGUGAGGAAUAUUGGUCAAUGGGCGAGAGCCGGAACCAGCCAAGUAGCGUGCAGGAUGACGGCCCUAUGGGUUGUAAACUGCUUUUAUAAGGGAAUAAAGUGAGUCUCGUGAGACUUUUUGCAUGUACCUUAUGAAUAAGGACCGGCUAAUUCCGUGCCAGCCGCCGCGGUAA